GGCGAAAUGAAAGUGAAGGUCGGCCUUGCGCCAACCAAGGGAGGAUGGGUCGCGUCACGUCGCGACCCCGCACUCCCGGGGCGUCUCAUUCUCAUCGCGAGAAGAGGCGCACCCAGAGCGUACACGCUGGGACCCGAAAGAUGGUGAACUAUGCCUGGUCAGGACGAAGUCAGGGGAAACCCUGAUGGAGGUCCGAAGCGAUUCUGACGUGCAAAUCGAUCGUCGGAACUGGGUAUAGGGGCGAAAGACUAAUCGAACCAUCUAGUAGCUGGUUCCCUCCGAAGUUUCCCUCAGGAUAGCUGGCGCUCGCUUUUGCGAGUCUCAUCUGGUAAAGCGAAUGAUUAGAGGCAUUGGGGUCGAAACGGCCUCAACCUAUUCUCAAACUUUAAAUGGGUGAGAUCUCCGGCUUGCUUGAACAGUGAAGCCGCGAGAUCGGAUCAGAGUGCCAAGUGGGCCAUUUUUGGUAAGCAGAACUGGCGCUGUGGGAUGAACCAAACGCAGAGUUAAAGCUCCUAAAUCUACGCUUAUGGGAUACC
This 536-nucleotide ribosomal RNA is filed under the name Eniclases variabilis. RNAcentral describes it as "partial 28S ribosomal RNA". It matches the Rfam family "Eukaryotic large subunit ribosomal RNA", at positions 713 to 1213 of the family's 3401-position model. The record is from RNAcentral. Lineage: Eukaryota; Metazoa; Arthropoda; Insecta; Coleoptera; Lycidae.